Molecule: non-coding RNA, 21 nt
Filed under: Caenorhabditis elegans
Lineage: Eukaryota; Metazoa; Nematoda; Chromadorea; Rhabditida; Rhabditidae
Source: RNAcentral
UAUAUAAAUCAUCAUUUCUGU